RNAcentral lists this ribosomal RNA (172 nucleotides) under Cernosvitoviella minor. Its description in RNAcentral is "5.8S ribosomal RNA". The stretch from base 1 to 153 matches the Rfam family "5.8S ribosomal RNA". From Rfam's summary of the family: 5.8S ribosomal RNA (5.8S rRNA) is a component of the large subunit of the eukaryotic ribosome. It is transcribed by RNA polymerase I as part of the 45S precursor that also contains 18S and 28S rRNA. The record is from RNAcentral. Lineage: Eukaryota; Metazoa; Annelida; Clitellata; Enchytraeida; Enchytraeidae.
AACUCUAAGCGGUGGAUCACUCGGCUCGUGUGUCGAUGAAGAGCGCAGCCAGCUGCGUGAACUAAUGUGAAUUGCAGGACACAUUGAACAUCGAUAUCUUGAACGCAUAUUGCGGCCUCGGGCAUUCCCGAGGCCACGCCUGUCUCAGGGUCGGUUGAACGUCAAUCGCGAG